GGGCCAGUAGCUCAGUUGAUAGAGCGCGUCGUUCGCAACGACGAGGUCGUCGGUUUGAUCCCGAUCUGGUCCACCA
This 76-nucleotide transfer RNA is filed under the name Opitutus sp. RNAcentral describes it as "tRNA-Ala". It matches the Rfam family "tRNA". Rfam says of the family: Transfer RNA (tRNA) molecules are approximately 80 nucleotides in length. Lineage: Bacteria; Pseudomonadati; Verrucomicrobiota; Opitutia; Opitutales; Opitutaceae. RNAcentral also lists the same sequence under 3 other names. The record is from RNAcentral.